This 393-nucleotide ribosomal RNA is filed under the name uncultured bacterium. Its description in RNAcentral is "bacterial SSU rRNA". It matches the Rfam family "Bacterial small subunit ribosomal RNA", at positions 96 to 524 of the family's 1533-position model. The record is from RNAcentral.
UGGCGGACGGGUGAGUAACGCGUGGGAACGUACCCUUUGGUUCGGAACAACUCCGGGAAACUGGAGCUAAUACCGGAUAAGCCCUUCGGGGGAAAGAUUUAUCGCCAGAGGAUCGGCCCGCGUUAGAUUAGCUAGUUGGUGGGGUAAAGGCCUACCAAGGCAUCGAUCAGUAGCUGGUCUGAGAGGACGAUCAGCCACACUGGGACUGAGACACGGCCCAGACUCCUACGGGAGGCAGCAGUAGGGAAUCUUGCGCAAUGGGCGAAAGCCUGACGCAGCCAUGCCGCGUGAAUGAUGAAGGUCUUAGGAUUGUAAAAUUCUUUCACCGGGGACGAUAAUGACGGUACCCGGAGAAGAAGCCCCGGCUAACUUCGUGCCAGCAGCCGCGGUAAU